GUGGGGAAUCUUGCGCAAUGGGCGAAAGCCUGACGCAGCCAUGCCGCGUGAAUGAUGAAGGUCUUAGGAUUGUAAAAUUCUUUCACCGGGGACGAUAAUGACGGUACCCGGAGAAGAAGCUCCGGCUAACUUCGUGACAGCAGCCGCGGUAAUACGAAGGGGGCUAGCGUUGCUCGGAAUUACCGGGCGUAAAGGGCGCGUAGGCGGACAGCUUAGUCAGAGGUGAAAGCCCAGGGCUCAACCUUGGAAUUGCCUUUGAUACUGGCUGUCUUGAGUGUGGGAGAGGUGAGUGGAACUCCGAGUGUAGAGGUGAAAUUCGUAGAUAUUCGGAAGAACACCAGUGGCGAAGGCGACUCACUGGCCCAAUACUGACGCUGAGGCGCGAAAGCGUGGGGAGCAAACAGGAUUAGAUACCCUGGUAGUCC
Molecule: ribosomal RNA, 425 nt
Filed under: uncultured bacterium
Lineage: Bacteria
Description: partial 16S ribosomal RNA
Rfam family: Bacterial small subunit ribosomal RNA
Source: RNAcentral